RNAcentral lists this ribosomal RNA (499 nucleotides) under uncultured bacterium. RNAcentral describes it as "partial 16S ribosomal RNA". It matches the Rfam family "Bacterial small subunit ribosomal RNA", at positions 28 to 506 of the family's 1533-position model. The record is from RNAcentral.
GACGAACGCUGGCGGCGUGCUUAACACAUGCAAGUCGAACGGAAAGGCCUGCUUUCCCUUGUGGUUUGCGGGUACUCGAGUGGCGAACGGGUGAGUAACACGUGAGUGAUCUGUUCCCAACUUGGGUAUAAGCGUGGGAUACUGGGUCUCAUUCUCGAUCGGACUGCAGGGUGGUGCCGGUGGUGGAAAAUGGUGUUCUAGAGGUUGGGGAUGAGCUCGCGGCCUAUUGGCUGGUUGGUGGGGUAAAGGCCUACCAAGGCGACGAUGGUUAGCUGGCCUGAGAGGAUGAUACGCAACAAUGGAACUGAGAGACGGGCCAGACUCCGACGGGAGGCAGCAGUGGGGAAUAUUGGGCAAUGGGCGCAAGCCUGAUCCAGCCAUACCGCGUGGGUGAAGAAGGCCUUCGGGUUGUAAAGCCCUUUUGUUGGGAAAGAAAAGCAGCAGGUUACUACCCCGCUGUUCUGACGGUACCCAAAGAAUAAGCACCGGCUAACCUCGU